GCCACCUUGGCUCAGCGGUAGAGCAAUGCUUUCGUAAAGCAUAGGUCACCCGUUCAAAUCGGGUAGGUGGCUCCA
Molecule: transfer RNA, 75 nt
Filed under: Planctomycetota bacterium
Lineage: Bacteria; Pseudomonadati; Planctomycetota
Description: Planctomycetes bacterium (gut metagenome) tRNA-Thr
Rfam family: tRNA
About the family: Transfer RNA (tRNA) molecules are approximately 80 nucleotides in length. Their secondary structure includes four short double-helical elements and three loops (D, anti-codon, and T loops).
Source: RNAcentral